Molecule: ribosomal RNA, 513 nt
Filed under: Aeromonas salmonicida
Lineage: Bacteria; Pseudomonadati; Pseudomonadota; Gammaproteobacteria; Aeromonadales; Aeromonadaceae
Description: bacterial SSU rRNA
Rfam family: Bacterial small subunit ribosomal RNA
Source: RNAcentral
GGCUACACAUGCAAGUCGAGCGGCAGCGGGAAAGUAGCUUGCUACUUUUGCCGGCGAGCGGCGGACGGGUGAGUAAUGCCUGGGGAUCUGCCCAGUCGAGGGGGAUAACAGUUGGAAACGACUGCUAAUACCGCAUACGCCCUACGGGGGAAAGGAGGGGACCUUCGGGCCUUUCGCGAUUGGAUGAACCCAGGUGGGAUUAGCUAGUUGGUGGGGUAAUGGCUCACCAAGGCGACGAUCCCUAGCUGGUCUGAGAGGAUGAUCAGCCGCACUGGAACUGAGACACGGUCCAGACUCCUACGGGAGGCAGCAGUGGGGAAUAUUGCACAAUGGGGGAAACCCUGAUGCAGCCAUGCCGCGUGUGUGAAGAAGGCCUUCGGGUUGUAAAGCACUUUCAGCGAGGAGGAAAGGUUGGCGCCUAAUACGUGUCAACUGUGACGUUACUCGCAGAAGAAGCACCGGCUAACUCCGUGCCAGCAGCCGCGGUAAUACGGAGGGUGCAAGCGUUAAUCG